GCCGGGCGCGGUGGCGCACGCCUGUGAUCCCAGUGGCUCGGGAGGCUGAGGCAGGAGGAUCUUGAGUUCAAAGCCAGCCUCAGCAAUGUUGAGGUGCUAAGCAACUCACUGAGACCCUGUCUCUA
RNAcentral lists this small RNA (125 nucleotides) under Marmota monax (woodchuck). Lineage: Eukaryota; Metazoa; Chordata; Mammalia; Rodentia; Sciuridae. The record is from RNAcentral.